RNAcentral lists this ribosomal RNA (272 nucleotides) under uncultured bacterium. Its description in RNAcentral is "partial 16S ribosomal RNA". It matches the Rfam family "Bacterial small subunit ribosomal RNA", at positions 71 to 339 of the family's 1533-position model. The record is from RNAcentral.
AGGAUUCGUCCAAGUGAAGCAGAGGACAGUGGCGGACGGGUGAGUAACGCGUGAGCAACCUGCCUAUCAGAGGGGGAUAACGAUUGGAAACGAUCGCUAAUACCGCAUGACAUAGCGGAACCGCAUGGUUUGUUAUCAAAGAUUUUAUCGCUGAUAGAUGGGCUCGCGUCCCAUUAGCUUGUUGGCGGGGUAACGGCCCACCAAGGCGACGAUGGGUAGCCGAUUUAAGAGGAUGAUCGGCCACAUUGGAACUGAAACACGGUCCAAACUCC